This is a long non-coding RNA of Hemicordylus capensis (graceful crag lizard), 502 nucleotides long. RefSeq lists it as uncharacterized. The transcript has 3 exons. The record is from RefSeq and is a predicted model, not a curated record. Lineage: Eukaryota; Metazoa; Chordata; Lepidosauria; Squamata; Cordylidae.
CAUGUAUCUCUGCUGUUUCAUCUCUGAACAUAUCUUCUUUCCGUCCACAGGUAUUCCGGUCACAUCCCCUUGUGAAGCAUCCUGAUAUCAGGCUGGUUCACAUGACCGUUAAAAUCAAGUCCAACACUGGAUCCAUGACUGGCUCUGAAGGGCUUUACACAAGAUUCCCCCAGUAACUUGUUAACAAGAUGCAUCCCAUGACUGAAACAAACCCAUGGACUGCGACAAGGUUGGAGGCAAUCCCUCUUGCAGAUUAGCUGGCUUGCUUCAAUAGGAAGAAAAGAAUGGAGCGGUUUCAUCACUUAAUGAUAGUUUUCACAUUUCCUAGUUUUCGUUCACUACAAUCUUGUCCAGCAGAUGGCAACAGAGGGAGUUGUCUUUGUCAGAUUCCAAGCUGGCUCCAGAAAAUACCAUCUCAUAAGAUGGACCAAAGUUCUUACUACACUCUUAAGGCAUACCUUCUUCUUCUUCUCUCUUUUUAGGAGGCGGUAUCAAUGUUAUU